AGCAGGGACGAAGGGUCCCGGUUAUGGGGUUUGACGGUAGGUGGAGAAGAAGCACCGGCUAACUACGUGCCAGCAGCCGCGGUAAUACGUAGGGUGCGAGCGUUGUCCGGAAUUACUGGGCGUAAAGAGCUCGUAGGUGGUUUGUCGCGUCGUCUGUGAAAUUCCGGGGCUCAACUCCGGGCGUGCAGGCGAUACGGGCAUAACUUGAGUGCUGUAGGGGAGACUGGAAUUCCUGGUGUAGCGGUGAAAUGCGCAGAUAUCAGGAGGAACACCGAUGGCGAAGGCAGGUCUCUGGGCAGUAACUGACGCUGAGGAGCGAAAGCAUGGGGAGCGAACAGGAUUAGAUACCCUGGUAGUCCAUGCCGUAAACGGUGGGCGCUAGGUGUAGGGGUCUUCCACGACUUCUGUGCCGUAGCUAACGCAUUAAGCGCCCCGCCUGGGGAGUACGGCCGCAAGGCUAAAACUCAAAG
Molecule: ribosomal RNA, 470 nt
Filed under: uncultured bacterium
Lineage: Bacteria
Description: bacterial SSU rRNA
Rfam family: Bacterial small subunit ribosomal RNA
Source: RNAcentral